This 252-nucleotide ribosomal RNA is filed under the name uncultured bacterium. RNAcentral's name for it is "partial 16S ribosomal RNA". It matches the Rfam family "Bacterial small subunit ribosomal RNA", at positions 524 to 776 of the family's 1533-position model. The record is from RNAcentral.
UACGAAGGGGGCUAGCGUUGUUCGGAAUUACUGGGCGUAAAGCGCACGUAGGCGGAUAUUUAAGUCAGGGGUGAAAUCCCAGAGCUCAACUCUGAACUGCCUUUGAUACUGGGUAUCUCGAGUAUGGAAGAGGUGAGUGGAAUUCCGAGUGUAGAGGUGAAAUUCGUAGAUAUUCGGAGGAACACCAGUGGCGAAGGCGGCUCACUGGUCCAUUACUGACGCUGAGGUGCGAAAGCGUGGGGAGCAAACAGG